RNAcentral lists this ribosomal RNA (253 nucleotides) under uncultured bacterium. RNAcentral describes it as "partial 16S ribosomal RNA". It matches the Rfam family "Bacterial small subunit ribosomal RNA", at positions 524 to 776 of the family's 1533-position model. The record is from RNAcentral.
UACGUAGGCAGCAAGCGUUGUUCGGAGUUACUGGGCGUAAAGGGUGUGUAGGCGGUUGGAUAAGUGUGGUGUGAAAUCUCCCGGCUCAACUGGGAGGGUGCGCUACAAACUGUCUGACUAGAGUGUGGGAUGGGAAAGUGGAAUUCCUGGUGUAGCGGUGAAAUGCGUAGAUAUCGGGAGGAACACCUGCGGCGAAAGCGGCUACCUGGACCAUAACCGACGCUGAGGCGCGAAAGCUAGGGGAGCAAACAGG